GUUUGCAGAGUCGGAUGCAACUAACCCUGGAUGAGAAUCCAUUGGUCAGCGAAGUAUCUUUCCAGGAACUAGUUUUCUAGAAGGUUCUAUCUCCAGCGGGAUUUCUCAGCAGCUGCACAAGGUGCAUAGCCAUUUGUUGCUCAACACAGAGUGGGCCAUAAAUCCAGUGACAGCUGUCUUACAAAGAGAGAGAAGUUUGGAUAUCAGCAAAUCGAGGGAAGGCCACCAUGUGAAGAUGUAUAAAAGGUGUGGACAGACCUGUAACCCAAGGGAAUGCCAGCAACUGCCAAUGAUGACAAGGACCAGGAAGAGAUGCCCUGAGGCCAGCAUCUUUUCUCUAGGUCAUACUCCCCACCACGAUGUCCUGAACCAUCAUAUGCUCAAAGGCAAUGGAGCCUACUGACCACAGACUGGAUCCUCUGAAGCUGAGCAUCCAAAUAACUCUCUCUUAAUUCGAGGCUUUCCUCCUCAGGCAUUUUGACACAGUAACAGAAAGCUAGUAACACUCAGAGCUAUGUACACGAACAUGCACGCACGCACACAUGCGCGGGUGCACACACACACACACACACACACACACACACACACAUGUGUAAAUUAGUCAUUUUGCUAGUAGGCCAAGACGAGAGGCCAUGAAGGCAAAUGGUGAUUUCUGAUAAUUAAACCAAUGAGAACCAGAUACAAAUCAGAGAUUUGAUGAAUCAGGUUAGAGCAAAGGGAAACUUGAAGAAGUCUGUACUCAUACAGCAAAGAAGCAGACAGAAAAAUUCCUUUUACUGGAAGGCAAGAAUCCUGGUCUGCCUUUUGAGGUAGGUUUUAGCAAUUUUUUCCUACUCACCUGAUUUCCACUAUGAAAUAUAUCACCUUACCAAGGAGAUGCACUGGAGCAGAUUGGAACAUGAUUGCAUCUCCUCUUCUCCAGUUUCAAAUAAAAAACAAUUACAUUAGUUUUCUUCCAUGAAUAACAUUUUGGGGGAAUCUUAGUGUAAGCAGCCAGGGAAUGAACACUGUAUUGAAGGAAGGGUACUAGCUUCAUGAUUCCUCUUUUUGACCUUCCUUUUUGGCCUUCAUAGUCUUUGAAGGAACUCUAGCCAGCCCUAGCAUGGAAAACAUGGCUUUAGCAAGCCUUAUCCUUCUCCCCCAUUCCCUCUGCCUUGCUAA
Molecule: long non-coding RNA, 1161 nt
Organism: Mus musculus (house mouse)
Lineage: Eukaryota; Metazoa; Chordata; Mammalia; Rodentia; Muridae
Exons: 3
Source: RefSeq, a predicted model, not a curated record